UACAGAGGGGGCAAGCGUUGUUCGGAAUUACUGGGCGUAAAGGGCGCGUAGGCGGCCUUCUAAGUCGGACGUGAAAUCCCUGGGCUCAACCCAGGAACUGCGUCCGAUACUGGAAGGCUUGAAUCCGGGAGAGGGAUGCGGAAUUCCAGGUGUAGCGGUGAAAUGCGUAGAUAUCUGGAGGAACACCGGUGGCGAAGGCGGCAUCCUGGACCGGUAUUGACGCUGAGACGCGAAAGCGUGGGGAGCAAACAGG
RNAcentral lists this ribosomal RNA (253 nucleotides) under uncultured bacterium. Its description in RNAcentral is "partial 16S ribosomal RNA". It matches the Rfam family "Bacterial small subunit ribosomal RNA", at positions 524 to 776 of the family's 1533-position model. The record is from RNAcentral.